GGGAACGAAACCUCUCGCACUCUCUCAGGUCACUGUGUUGAUAUACAAAUAUGGGGGAUGGUUCAGCACCUCCAACUGCAUUUCAGAAAAUACAUGGGCAUUCACACCUCUUCUCUCUAAUAUCUCCCCACACGCAUUCUAAGUAUACUGGUUCAUACAACAUGACUGGUGGAUAUGUCAAUGAAAUUCUACGGGGUGCUUGUAUGACGAAUUGCCAAGCCGCUAAUCUGGAAGUCCGUCAAUUGGGAAAUAUUCUCAUACAGGCCCCAUCUGAAGAGAAGAAAGCUAACAGUUUCGUCGUGGAUUUUCUUAUGGGAGGGGUUUCUGCUGCAGUGUCUAAGACAGCUGCAGCUCCAAUUGAGAGAGUCAAGCUUUUGAUUCAGAAUCAGGAUGAGAUGAUAAAGGCUGGUAGACUUUCUGAACCUUAUAAAGGGAUUUCUAACUGCUUUGGUAGAACUAUCAAGGAUGAAGGCGUCCUUGCUCUUUGGAGAGGCAAUACUGCAAAUGUCAUCAGAUACUUCCCCACUCAGGCCUUGAAUUUCGCUUUCAAAGAUUACUUUAAAAGACUCUUUAAUUUCAAGAAAGACAAGGAUGGCUACUGGAAGUGGUUUGCAGGAAACUUGGCAUCUGGUGGUGCUGCUGGUGCCUCAUCCCUUUUAUUUGUGUAUUCUUUGGAUUAUGCAAGAACACGCCUUGCUAAUGAUAAUAAGACUGCAAAAAAGGGUGGUGAGAGGCAGUUCAAUGGUUUGGUUGACGUUUACAGGAAAACUCUUAAGUCAGAUGGUAUGGGGGGGCUUUACCGUGGAUUCACCAUCUCAUGUGUGGGCAUUAUUGUUUACCGUGGUCUGUACUUUGGAAUGUAUGAUUCACUUAAACCAGUACUUCUAGUCGGUGACAUGCAGGAUAGUUUUUUUGCGAGUUUCUUGCUGGGAUGGGGUAUCACUAUUGGUGCUGGUUUGGCUUCUUACCCAAUUGAUACAGUGCGUAGAAGAAUGAUGAUGACUUCUGGAGAAGCAGUCAAGUACAAGGGUUCAAUGGAUGCAUUUUCUCAGAUUGUUAAGAAUGAAGGCACUAAAUCCCUGUUCAAAGGUGCUGGAGCAAACAUUCUACGUGCUGUUGCUGGUGCAGGUGUCCUAGCCGGGUACGAUAAGCUGCAGCUUAUUAUGUUUGGAAAGAAAUAUGGGUCAGGUGGCGGUGGCUAAUCUAAUAUGGUGAUGAAUGAUAAUGACGAAAACUGUCUUUUGGUUGUGUAGAUUUCCUUGAUUGUCCGGUGCUUUUGAAUAAUUUUCCCAAACUAUGUCACACUGGUUGGCAUUCUCUUGAAAGUUUAUUCUGGAACAGUAUUUUCUUGUUUUAUAGUUGCCUUUUAU
RNAcentral lists this unclassified non-coding RNA (1370 nucleotides) under Hevea brasiliensis (rubber tree). Lineage: Eukaryota; Viridiplantae; Streptophyta; Magnoliopsida; Malpighiales; Euphorbiaceae. The record is from RNAcentral.